CACAGAGGAAGGAGAAGUCUGCAACUUUGGGCAGAUUAACUCUCCUUUGUUGACAAACUGCUGCAAUGUUCAAGCAAAUAAGAUGUGGUUCAUCCCUUGGCAGUAAACCAGGAUUAUGCUGCUGAACCAAGACUUCCUCCAGAAUCCAAGUGCCUGAAAACAGGAUCAUUAAUUUCUGAAAAAGAUAAAAGUUUUGCCUUAUGGCAUUUGGAUUACAUACAAGAGUCCAAAGACAAAAAAGGUGGACAAAAGCAAAGAGAAAUCGUGGCCCCAUGCGUAGGCAUAAUUUCAGGAGAGGCAGUAUUUUGAAAAAAAAAAGUGACCACAGAAGGACAAUGAAUGAUGAAAUGACACAAAGGAGGAAUGGGGGAUUUACAUCUUCUUCACUAUGAAAUCAGAUGCUGCUUUUACAAUAACUGAAAAGCCUGAAGGAGUGGUGCUAAUGGAAAACUGGACAAGUCCUUAGAAAUACAGUGUUGAGCAGUCAUGAAGGCAACAUGGUAUGAACAGAUGCUUACCACAAUCAAUGCAAAAGAAAUACUUGUGUGAGAAAAGUACCUUGAGCUCAGAAUUAAGUUCUGAAAAAAAAAUAAAUAUGUAACACACCUGCA
This 611-nucleotide long non-coding RNA is filed under the name Coturnix japonica (Japanese quail). RNAcentral's name for it is "lncRNA (ENSCJPG00005009885.1)". The record is from RNAcentral. Lineage: Eukaryota; Metazoa; Chordata; Aves; Galliformes; Phasianidae.